CCUUGUCAACUGGGUCGGGUACAACCCAGAGGAACGUUCUUGUAGCUCCCAGAAUCUCAUGCUUGAUCCCACUCUCUUGGUCGACUUCUCCAGGGUAGCGUGGAAGGACGCCGGGAGGUAUCCGUAAAGGGCGGGGCCCGGUCAUGUACUGCCCUACAGUAUGCUUGUGCUCUCUCUCUCUCUCUCUCUCCCCUCCCAUUGCUCUUCCAGCACCUGUUCUCAAUCAGCCAUCACCACCACCACCACAACCACCACCACUAUUUAAGCCUGCCUGUUUCCCGAGUUACUGCAGACUCUCAUAGCGGUACCACGAUCCACAUACUUACCGCCAGGGGCGCUCGAGCAGAAAGGGCCUGUUGCCUUGAGAUCUGCGGUCAUGAAGUCCUUUGAACACUUUGUUCUGGAUCACCUCAAGAGCGUCACAGGCCCCCAGCUGGACCUACUGCAGUUUGCCUAACAAGCCAACAGGUCCGCGGAUGAUGCCGUCUUCAUCCUUGAACAUCUUGACAACAAGGGUACCUAUCUCAGCGUCACGCCUGCCAUCUCCCGGUGUAUAUAGAACUUCCUGACGGGCAAGACACAGGAGGUGAGGCUGCGGGACACCACCUCAUUCAUGCGCACUAUCAGCACCCGGCCACCCCAAGGUUGUGUCCUCUCCCCUCUGUUCUUCUUGCUCUACACUAACGACUGCCCCUCAUGGCAUCCGACUGUCAAACUCCUGAGGUUCGCAGAUGACACCACGGUCACUGGCCUCAUCAAAAACGGCGACGAGUCUGCAUAUCGACAGGAAGUGGCGAGACUGGAGCUUUGGUGUGGUCAAAAACAAUUUGAGGUUGAACACUCUAAAGACUGUAGAGAUGAUUAUGGACUUCCUGAGGCAUCCUUAACCACAGCUGCCCCUGACACUGUCCAACUGCCUUGUGUCAACUGUCGAGACCUUCAACUUCUUGGGAAUUACAAUCUCAAAGGACCUGAAGUGAGAGACUAACAUCAACUCCAUUCUCAAAAAAACCCCAGCAAAAGAUGUACUUCUUGCUGCUUCUGAGGAAGCACGGUCUGUCACAUGAGCUGCUGAGACAGUUCUACACAGCGGUCAUCCAAUCAGUACUGUGUAUUUCCACCACAGUCUUAAAAAAAGGACAAACGCCGACUGCAACAGACAUCACAACAGAUUACGGAUUAUCGGCACCACUCUACCCACUAUUGAGAAUUAUACACAACAUGAACUAGGUCCAAAGCAGGCAGGAUCCUUUCGGAUCCUCCACAUCCUGGCC
Molecule: long non-coding RNA, 1274 nt
Organism: Syngnathoides biaculeatus (alligator pipefish)
Lineage: Eukaryota; Metazoa; Chordata; Actinopteri; Syngnathiformes; Syngnathidae
Exons: 4
Source: RefSeq, a predicted model, not a curated record